This 253-nucleotide ribosomal RNA is filed under the name uncultured bacterium. RNAcentral's name for it is "partial 16S ribosomal RNA". It matches the Rfam family "Bacterial small subunit ribosomal RNA", at positions 524 to 776 of the family's 1533-position model. The record is from RNAcentral.
UACAGAGGUCCCAAGCGUCGUUCGGAUUCACUGGGCGUAAAGGGUGCGUAGGUGGCCAGGUAAGUUCGGUGUGAAAGCUCGGAGCUUAACUCCGAAAUGGCAUUGAAUACUAUCUGGCUGGAGGGUCGGAGGGGAGACUGGAAUUCUCGGUGUAGCAGUGAAAUGCGUAGAUAUCGAGAGGAACACCAGUGGCGAAGGCGAGUCUCUGGACGACUCCUGACACUGAGGCACGAAAGCCAGGGGAGCAAACAGG